This 512-nucleotide ribosomal RNA is filed under the name uncultured bacterium. RNAcentral's name for it is "bacterial SSU rRNA". It matches the Rfam family "Bacterial small subunit ribosomal RNA", at positions 34 to 518 of the family's 1533-position model. The record is from RNAcentral.
CGCUGGCGGCGUGCCUAAUACAUGCAAGUCGAACGGUCUUUCUAUGGAAGCUUGCUUCCACUGAGAAGAUAGUGGCGAACGGGUGAGUAACACGUGGGUAACCUGCCCAUAAGAGGGGGGAUAACAUCCGGAAACGGGUGCUAAUACCGCAUAGUUUUCUUGAUCGCAUGAUCGGGAAAGGAAAGACGGCCUUUGUGCUGUCGCUUAUGGAUGGACCCGCGGCGUAUUAGUUAGUUGGUGAGGUAACGGCUCACCAAGACGAUGAUACGUAGCCGACCUGAGAGGGUGAUCGGCCACAUUGGGACUGAGACACGGCCCAAACUCCUACGGGAGGCAGCAGUAGGGAAUCUUCCGCAAUGGACGAAAGUCUGACGGAGCAACGCCGCGUGAGUGAAGAAAGGUUUUCGGAUCGUAAAACUCUGUUGUCAGAGAAGAACAAGUUGGAGAGUAACUGCUCCAGCCUUGACGGUAUCUGACCAGAAAGCCACGGCUAACUACGUGCCAGCCGCGGC